This is a long non-coding RNA of Humulus lupulus (European hop), 364 nucleotides long. RefSeq lists it as uncharacterized. NCBI's taxonomy places the organism in Eukaryota, Viridiplantae, Streptophyta, Magnoliopsida, Rosales, Cannabaceae. The record is from RefSeq and is a predicted model, not a curated record. The transcript has 2 exons.
GAGUUGUCAUGGUUUUAUAAAGGAAUUGGAGUUGGAUUCACUAUUGGAUUUUGUGGAGUUUGUGCCAAUUUAGUGAUGAUAAAGCAUUUCAUGCAUAGCCUAAGAAAUGUGCUAUCAAAGGCACUGCGCUGAGAAGAAAGCUUACUGCAAUUGACAGAUUCCUCUGGUGAUGAAGAUCAGACUUAGUGGCUGCAAGGAUUCUAAGAGUUCAAAGUUUAAAAGCAACAGAAUUAAUGGGUCAAGCUUGAAGCAUUUGAAUCUCUAUACUGUUUUUAGUAGCUGAUGCUUUUGACUAUUGUUAAGUAAGUUUGUAAACUUUGUUUCUACAAUUACACUUACCAAACAAAGAUUAACUUUCUCUUAA